AGCGGCGGACGGGUGAGUAACGCGUGGGUAACCUGCCUCAUACAGGGGGAUAACAGUUAGAAAUGGCUGCUAAUACCGCAUAAGACCACAGUACUGCAUGGUACAGUGGUAAAAACUCCGGUGGUUAUGGAUGGGCAUGCGUUGUAUUAGCUGGUUGGUGAGGUAACGGCUCACCAAGGCAACGAUACAUAGGGGGACUGAGAGGUUAACCCCCCACAUUGGUACUGAGACACGGACCAA
RNAcentral lists this ribosomal RNA (240 nucleotides) under uncultured bacterium. Its description in RNAcentral is "partial 16S ribosomal RNA". It matches the Rfam family "Bacterial small subunit ribosomal RNA", at positions 94 to 334 of the family's 1533-position model. The record is from RNAcentral.